This 253-nucleotide unclassified non-coding RNA is filed under the name Hevea brasiliensis (rubber tree). Lineage: Eukaryota; Viridiplantae; Streptophyta; Magnoliopsida; Malpighiales; Euphorbiaceae. The record is from RNAcentral.
CUUCAGUUUGCUGCUCUUUUCUCUCUGUGGGUGUGUUAUUUUAUUGGUGGUUGUGCCCAUCAUGAGCUACAACUACGUGGUCAUUUUGAUGCUUAAAAUGAUCUUUACCCCUCGUCAACCAGAUGUGCCAGCAGAAUAGCAUCAACUAAUGGAGAGAGAAAGCAAUGAUGUUUUUUUAUGAUGGAAACUGUUAAACCUUCAUUAAGAUGAAAAGCCUUGGGAGGCAGCAUGACAGAAUACAUGACCUAUCCAC